Molecule: unclassified non-coding RNA, 348 nt
Filed under: soil metagenome
Description: partial contains 5.8S ribosomal RNA, internal transcribed spacer 2, and large subunit ribosomal RNA
Rfam family: 5.8S ribosomal RNA (bases 1-120)
Source: RNAcentral
GAUGAAGAACGUAGCGAAAUGCGAUAACUAAUGUGAAUUGCAGAAUUCCGUGAAUCAUUGAGUCUUUGAACGCACAUUGCGCCCGCUGGUAUUCCGGCGGGCAUGCCUGUUCGAGCGUCAUUUCAACCCUCAAGCCCCCGGGUUUGGUGUUGGGGAUCGGCUCUGCCCUUCUGGGCGGUGCCGCCCCCGAAAUACAUUGGCGGUCUCGCUGCAGCCUCCAUUGCGUAGUAGCUAACACCUCGCAACUGGAACGCGGCGCGGCCAUGCCGUAAAACCCCAACUUCUGAAUGUUGACCUCGGAUCAGGUAGGAAUACCCGCUGAACUUAAGCAUAUCAAUAAGCGGAGGA